This 204-nucleotide ribosomal RNA is filed under the name uncultured bacterium. Its description in RNAcentral is "partial 16S ribosomal RNA". It matches the Rfam family "Bacterial small subunit ribosomal RNA", at positions 568 to 773 of the family's 1533-position model. The record is from RNAcentral.
UGCGUAGGCGGCGGGGUAAGUCAGGUGUGAAAUCUCGGGGCUCAACCCCGAAACUGCACUUGAUACUGCCUUGCUCGAGUACUGGAGAGGAGACUGGAAUUUACGGCGUAGCAGUGAAAUGCGUAGAUAUCGUAAGGAAGACCAGUGGCGAAGGCGAGUCUCUGGACAGUUACUGACGCUGAGGACAAGGCCAGGGGAGCAAAC